UUGCCAAGAAAACCCCAAAUGGGGUCAGGAAGAGUCAGACAGAACUGAAAUGACUGAAUAAUAGAUGAUUAGAGUCGCUGGGAAGUAGAUUGUCCUGCCUUUUACAGAAGCAAUGGAAAUGUUGAUUUGAUUAUCAAACUCCAAACAAGGGGAGGGUGGAGAACAGAAACCUGGGGCACAGAAUAAAUGUAAUCCCUCUUCCACGUUAUGGCUAAACCUCUCCAGUUCAUUCAAGUUAUUCUUAUUCUUCACGUUAAUGGCCGCCUUCCUCUGGACCCUCUCCAGCAUAGACUCGAUAUGAGUCUAAUCAGGGGUGGCUCCAGCAUACUUAGCUGGUAAUCAGGGUUUUUGUCAUGGAUGAAGAAGGAACAACAGCAUUGCUGUAACCAUACUCAUAACUGAGGAUAUAUGUCACAUCUACACAAGCCCUUUGGACCUGGGACCUCAAGGCAUGAUGGGAGGAGAACCUUGGUUGUGAUGUACUCUAAAAACCAUGAUGAAGAAACCAAAAUCAUGUUGGAACAGGGGAGGUAAAAAAGCCAUUCUCAUCAUCUAGUCUGUUGUAGAAGUUGUCUCAAGUAUAUUUUCCGUGAUCCCACAGAAGAUGAACUUACCAUCUCAAGAUUUUUAUUCAACUACAAAAAGCAAUCAUUUUAUCCACCUACAAUGGUCUGUCAAAAACCACACAUAAAACAACAACAGUAAGAGGGUGACAUAUUCCUGGGCCAUUUCUGUCUUUACUUCCAUGGAAUAUAAUAAAAUAAUAAUUAAUAAUAAUAGCCAGCAUUUAUAUGUCAU
Long non-coding RNA from Phascolarctos cinereus (koala), 798 nucleotides. RefSeq lists it as uncharacterized. Lineage: Eukaryota; Metazoa; Chordata; Mammalia; Diprotodontia; Phascolarctidae. The record is from RefSeq and is a predicted model, not a curated record.